This 274-nucleotide ribosomal RNA is filed under the name uncultured bacterium. RNAcentral's name for it is "partial 16S ribosomal RNA". It matches the Rfam family "Bacterial small subunit ribosomal RNA", at positions 523 to 796 of the family's 1533-position model. The record is from RNAcentral.
AUACGGAGGGUGCGAGCGUUAAUCGGAAUUACUGGGCGUAAAGCGUGCGUAGGCGGUUGAUUUAGUCAGAUGUGAAAGCCCCGGGCUCAACCUGGGAACUGCAUUUGAAACUGGUAGGCUAGAGUAUGGUAGAGGGGGGUAGAAUUUCUGGUGUAGCGGUGAAAUGCGUAGAUAUCAGAAGGAAUACCGAUGGCGAAGGCAGCCCCCUGGACCAAUACUGACGCUGAGGUACGAAAGCGUGGGGAGCAAACAGGAUUAGAUACCCGGGUAGUCC